GGGAGGGGAAAUACUGCCAGCCAAAUUGACUGGAAUUUCUCUGUGGAGUAGAACCUCAUGGCAGUCAAACUCUGUGGGUUGCUUCCAUAUUGAGCCAAAGGACUAAGGACUCAUGGCAGCUCUGCUCUCUCCCUAUCUAGCUCCAAGGUUAGCUCCUGUGUGACUCCUCUUUCCUUUCCUAGAAAGCAGAAGAGGCAGAGAAGAGGGUUCAGCUCCAGCUGGACUUUUUCCCAGUGCCAUUCAGCGCUGGCUGGUGAUCUACAGAAACCAGAACAGGGCUGAAAGGCUGCGGCUCCCUCACCUGGUGGAGAGACCUGAUGUGGUGGGACCCUCUCAUGCACAUGCAAGGAUCGAGGAGAACAAAGCCGAGGUGGACUUGGAGGAGUGGGAUGAGGAGCGUCUCGGGAGGAAAUACCUGAGGUGGUGGCAUCGCACAGUGGUCCUUUGCCGGCACCAGCGUGAAAGGAGACUGCUCUGUCUGGCAAGGGGGUGGCACCAGUGGAAGGAAGCCAGCAGGGUGGUGAUACUGGCUCAGGUGUUGGACCGGCAGCGGCUCAUAGAAAAGACCUGGAGGGUGUGGAGGCGAAGAUAUUUGCAAAGCUAUGUGGUACAGAAUUUUUUGGAGGAGGAAGCCAGGAGCCUCCUGUCCCAGGCCUUUGGAAGGUGGCAGCAGCUCACAGCAUUCCAGCUCAAAGACAAAGGACUCUGCUGAAUGGAAGGGGACUGCCUGCAGCUGCUGCUCAUUUCAGGACACGUGGAGGAUGUGGCUCCUGUCACAACAAAGAGCUGGUCCUGUGCAGUUCAGAAAGAGAACACUGCUCUUGUGAUAAAAGCAGUGCUGCAGGCCAG
Molecule: long non-coding RNA, 849 nt
Filed under: Lepidothrix coronata (blue-crowned manakin)
Lineage: Eukaryota; Metazoa; Chordata; Aves; Passeriformes; Pipridae
Description: lncRNA (ENSLCOG00000009185.1)
Source: RNAcentral